UACGUAGGGGGCGAGCGUUGUCCGGAAUCAUUGGGCGUAAAGCGCGUGUAGGCGGCCCGGUAAGUCCGCUAUGAAAGUCCAGGGCUCAACCCUGGGAUGCCGGUGGAUACUGUCGGGCUCGAGUCCGGAAGAGGCGAGUGGAAUUCUUGGUGUAGCGGUGAAAUGCGUAGAUAUCAAGAGGAACACCUGAGGUGAAGACGGGUUGCUGGGCUGACACUGACGCUGAGGCGCGAAAGCCAGGGGAGCAAACGGG
RNAcentral lists this ribosomal RNA (253 nucleotides) under uncultured bacterium. RNAcentral's name for it is "partial 16S ribosomal RNA". It matches the Rfam family "Bacterial small subunit ribosomal RNA", at positions 524 to 776 of the family's 1533-position model. The record is from RNAcentral.